RNAcentral lists this ribosomal RNA (301 nucleotides) under uncultured bacterium. Its description in RNAcentral is "partial 16S ribosomal RNA". It matches the Rfam family "Bacterial small subunit ribosomal RNA", at positions 509 to 807 of the family's 1533-position model. The record is from RNAcentral.
CAGUCGCCGCGGGAAUACGUAGGGUGCGAGCGUUAAUCGGAAUUACUGGGCGUAAAGCGUGCGCAGGCGGUUGUGUAAGACAGGUGUGAAAUCCCCGGGCUCAACCUGGGAAUGGCAGUGGAUACUGGCUCGCUAGAGUGUGUCAGAGGAUGGUGGAAUUCUCGGUGUAGCGGUGAAAUGCGUAGAGAUCGGGAGGAACAUCAGUGGCGAAGGCGGCCAUCUGGGACAACACUGACGCUGAGGCACGAAAGCGUGGGGAGCAAACAGGAUUAGAUACCCCCGUAGUCCCUGUCUCUUAUAC